Molecule: non-coding RNA, 276 nt
Organism: Oryza meridionalis
Lineage: Eukaryota; Viridiplantae; Streptophyta; Magnoliopsida; Poales; Poaceae
Source: Rfam
CUGACAUGCAUGCGAGUCGACGGGUUUUGAAACCUGGGAUACGCAAGGAAUUUGACAAGUGGGAGGCCCUCGCGAGCCAUACCUCUGGCCAACCCUGAUCUUCUAUGAAGGGUUCGAAUUGGAGCACGCCUGUCGGGACCCGAAAGAUGGUGAAUUAUGCUUGAGCGGGGCGAAGUCAGAGGAAAAUCUGAUGGAGGCUCGAAGCGAUACUGACGUACAAAUCGUUUGUCUGACUUGGGUAUAGGGAUGAGACCAAUCGAACCAUCUAGUAGCUGG